Molecule: ribosomal RNA, 468 nt
Filed under: uncultured bacterium
Lineage: Bacteria
Description: partial 16S ribosomal RNA
Rfam family: Bacterial small subunit ribosomal RNA
Source: RNAcentral
GACGAACGCUGGCGGCGUGCUUAACACAUGCAAGUCGAACGGAAAGGCCCUGCUCUUGUGGGGUUCUCGAGUGGCGAACGGGUGAGUAACACGUGUGUAACCUGCCCUUGUCUUUGGGAUAACAUUAGGAAACUGGGGCUAUUACCGGAUAGGAGCUCUUGCAGCGUGUUGGGGAUUGGAAAGUGUCGGCUGUUGGGGAUGGACUCGCGGCUUAUCAGCUUGUUGGUGGGGUAGUGGAAUACCAAGGCUGUGACGGGUAGCCGGCCUGGGAGGGUGGACGGGCACAAUGGGACUGAGAGACGGACCAGACGCGUACGGGAGGCAAUGGUGGGGAACAUGGCACAAUGGGGGGACGCCUGAUGCAGCGACGCCGCGUGCGGGAUGACGGCUUUCGGGGUGUAAACCGCUUUCGCCUGUGACGAAGCGUGAGUGACGGUAAUGGGUAAAGAAGCACCGGCUAACUACGUG